GACGUAGGGCGCGAGCGUUGUCCGGAUUUAUUGGGCGUAAAGAGCUCGUAGGCGGUCCGUCACGUCCGCUGUGAAAACCCAGGGCUCAACCCUGGGCUUGCAGUGGAUACGGGCAGACUAGAGGUAGGUAGGGGAGUCUGGAAUUCCUGGUGUAGCGGUGAAAUGCGCAGAUAUCAGGAGGAACACCGGUGGCGAAGGCGGGACUCUGGGCCGAUACUGACGCUGAGGAGCGAAAGCGUGGGGAGCAAACAGG
This 253-nucleotide ribosomal RNA is filed under the name uncultured bacterium. RNAcentral's name for it is "partial 16S ribosomal RNA". It matches the Rfam family "Bacterial small subunit ribosomal RNA", at positions 524 to 776 of the family's 1533-position model. The record is from RNAcentral.